CCUACGGGGUGCAGCAGUGGGGGAUAUUGGACAAUGGGGGGGAACCCUGAUCCAGCGACGCCGCGUGAGUGAAGAAGUAUUUCGGUAUGUAAAGCUCUGUCAGCAGGGAAGAAAGCAAUGACGGUACCUGACCAAGAAGCCCCGGCUAACUACGUGCCAGCAGCCGCGGUAAUACGUAGGGGGCAAGCGUUAUCCGGAAUUAGGGGGUGAAAAGGGAGCGUAGACGGCUGUGCAUGUCUGUAGUGAAAGGGGUGGGCCCAACCCCCGGACUGAGCUGGAAACUGUAUGGGUGGAGGGCAGGAGAGGUAAGCGGAAUUCUGGGUGUAGCGGUGAAAUGCGUAGAUAUUAGGAGGAAAACCAGUGGCGAAGGCGGCUUACUGGACUGUAACUGACGUUGAGGGUCGAAAGCGUGGGGAGAAAACAGGAUUAGAUACCCUGUAGUC
RNAcentral lists this ribosomal RNA (443 nucleotides) under uncultured bacterium. RNAcentral describes it as "partial 16S ribosomal RNA". It matches the Rfam family "Bacterial small subunit ribosomal RNA", at positions 338 to 795 of the family's 1533-position model. The record is from RNAcentral.